GGGUUGUGAGGUUAAGCGACUAAGCGUACACGGUGGAUGCCCUGGCAGUCAGAGGCGAUGAAGGGCGUGCUAAUCUGCGAUAAGCGCCGGUAAGGUGAUAUGAACCGUUAUAACCGGCGAUACCCGAAUGGGGAAACCCAGUGUGAUUCGUCACACUAUCAUUAACUGAAUCCAUAGGUUAAUGAGGCGAACCGGGGGAACUGAAACAUCUAAGUACCCCGAGGAAAAGAAAUCAACCGAGAUUCCCCCAGUAGCGGCGAGCGAACGGGGAGGAGCCCAGAGCCUGAAUCAGCAUGUGUGUUAGUGGAAGCGUCUGGAAAGGCGCGCGAUACAGGGUGACAGCCCCGUACACAAAAGCGCAUGUGCUGUGAGCUCGAUGAGUAGGGCGGGACACGUGGUAUCCUGUCUGAAUAUGGGGGGACCAUCCUCCAAGGCUAAAUACUCCUGACUGACCGAUAGUGAACCAGUACCGUGAGGGAAAGGCGAAAAGAACCCCGGCGAGGGGAGUGAAAAAGAACCUGAAACCGUGUACGUACAAGCAGUGGGAGCACCCUUUGGGGUGUGACUGCGUACCUUUUGUAUAAUGGGUCAGCGACUUAUAUUCUGUAGCAAGGUUAACCGAAUAGGGGAGCCGGAGGGAAACCGAGUCUUAACCGGGCGUUAAGUUGCAGGGUAUAGACCCGAAACCCGGUGAUCUAGCCAUGGGCAGGUUGAAGGUUGGGUAACACUAACUGGAGGACCGAACCGACUAAUGUUGAAAAAUUAGCGGAUGACCUGUGGCUGGGGGUGAAAGGCCAAUCAAACCGGGAGAUAGCUGGUUCUCCCCGAAAGCUAUUUAGGUAGCGCCUCGUGAAUUCAUCUCCGGGGGUAGAGCACUGUUUCGGCUAGGGGGCCAUCCCGGCUUACCAACCCGAUGCAAACUGCGAAUACCGGAGAAUGUUAUCACGGGAGACACACGGCGGGUGCUAACGUCCGUCGUGAAGAGGGAAACAACCCAGACCGCCAGCUAAGGUCCCAAAGUCAUGGUUAAGUGGGAAACGAUGUGGGAAGGCCCAGACAGCCAGGAUGUUGGCUUAGAAGCAGCCAUCAUUUAAAGAAAGCGUAAUAGCUCACUGGUCGAGUCGGCCUGCGCGGAAGAUGUAACGGGGCUAAACCAUGCACCGAAGCUGCGGCAGCGACGCUGAUGCGUUGUUGGGUAGGGGAGCGUUCUGUAAGCCUGCGAAGGUGGCCUGUGAGGGUUGCUGGAGGUAUCAGAAGUGCGAAUGCUGACAUAAGUAACGAUAAAGCGGGUGAAAAGCCCGCUCGCCGGAAGACCAAGGGUUCCUGUCCAACGUUAAUCGGGGCAGGGUGAGUCGACCCCUAAGGCGAGGCCGAAAGGCGUAGUCGAUGGGAAACGGGUUAAUAUUCCCGUACUUGGUGUUACUGCGAAGGGGGGACGGAGAAGGCUAUGUUGGCCGGGCGACGGUU
Molecule: ribosomal RNA, 1467 nt
Filed under: Salmonella enterica subsp. enterica serovar Montevideo
Lineage: Bacteria; Pseudomonadati; Pseudomonadota; Gammaproteobacteria; Enterobacterales; Enterobacteriaceae
Description: partial 23S ribosomal RNA
Rfam family: Bacterial large subunit ribosomal RNA
Source: RNAcentral